RNAcentral lists this long non-coding RNA (1577 nucleotides) under Malus domestica (apple). RNAcentral's name for it is "long non-coding RNA (MDOM_LNC001607)". The record is from RNAcentral. Lineage: Eukaryota; Viridiplantae; Streptophyta; Magnoliopsida; Rosales; Rosaceae.
AGCGAACAAGCACUAAAUGAUGGAUCGCCUCUAACAAAGGCUCAACAUAUUAUCUUCAAUAACCAUCAUAGUUGUCCUUAAAACUAACUGAGCAGAACAUAGAUAGGAGGUAUCGCAAGCAUUAACACAACUUAGUCACCUUCCCGAAUCAUAAGAAUAAAAUGGGCACUAGCUAAGCAAAGAGCAUGUGUCCGACGUUUUAUCUCUCAAAAUGGGUUAGACAACGCGCAAUGUCAGAAUUUAAAUAGUAAAAUCUAACCACUUGCACGACGUCACACCAGUACGCACUAAAGAAUUCCACUUAGGCCUAGACACAAGAAAAAAAAGAAACCCCGCUAGUUUCUGCCUUUUGUUUCAAGGUAACUUAACUCCUCUUGCAAGCUUUGUACUCAUUACUCGUUUAGAUAAGUAUAGACUUAGGCAUCGGAAAGUGAUCUGCCGCUACCACAUAGAGGAUCUAAACUCAGCAAGUCUGAGUGUAUAAAAAGCUUUCUGAGUCUACAACACACAAAUCCUUGAUUAGUUAGCUAAAGCGCAUAACAUGUAUUCAAAGCACUAUUAGUUUGUGGAUACUUAAGUUAGCAAACAUAUUACAAGCAUAUGAAUUGAACUGUGACUUGGCCAACCAACCUCGCAAUCAAAUUUGUAUCAAGAUAUGUCUUUUCUUUCUCCCCUUUGAUUUGCAUGAGAUACACUGUAUGCCAUCCAAAAUACAUCUCACCUUGCAUAAGGGACAUGGGAAUGAAUUGUCAUGUUAUGCGUGCUCCACCUGCCCCCUUUAAUAGAUAUGCAUAAGAGAGAAUUUGGUUCAAAUAUAAUAUAUAUGCGUGCUCCACCUGCCCCCUUUAAUAGAUAUGCAUAAGAGAGAAUUUGGUUCAAAUAUAAUAUAUAUGCGUGCUCCACCUGCCCCCUUUAAUUUGGCUACUCCUGCUUCUGCCAAAAUCUAAUCCAACCAACCAACCAUUUUAUCGUCUGCAUUCAUCUAUACUAUAUUGCCAUAUAAACACAUCUUUGAUAUAUAAAAAUCCCAUUGUUGCUCACACGGUAAUACCACCUUAUCUUCAUUUAUAUAUAGUAUCUUCUUCCCAUCUUUAGUGCACCUCCAAAAUUGUUCGACGGUUACUUUGUUGCAAUGCUCCUUAAACAAAGACAAAUAAGAGUUUUGCACUAACAAAAUAAACUAAUACUAUUUUGCUACACAAUAAAACUUGGCAAUUGCACACGUAAUGCUUAAUAACCAUUUAAAAAUUACUUUUUUUAUUAUUAUUGUUUAAAUGAAAGGAUGAUAAUGGAUUAUGUGAGUCAAGCUACGCUUAAGGUUUGAUCGUCGGACUACAGUAGUAGAAACCUUACUCUCUAAACCCACACAAUGCAGAAAGAAAGAAUCAAACCCCAAGAUUAGCCGUCAACUACAAUUAGGCUACUUCCUUCCCGCUCAGAGCAAUGAGAAAUGACUAACUCCCUGAUAGAACGAGCCCCCCCCGGUCCCCUAUCUCCAAAUUUAUUAAAUAAAGAAAAGUAAAAAUAAAACAAUACAAGCGAGGGGACGGAGCCAAAACCCGCUAAGAAAAAAACAA